CUAGGGACAGAGGAGCCUGUUGGGCUUCCGUCUAUGGGGUCGCACAGAGGUCGGCCACGACUGAAGCGACUUAGCAGCAGCAGCAGCAGAACAUUGGUUGACAAAGCCUAAUGAUAUGGCCAUCUCCAUUUGUCUAGCCCCUGGUUCUCUUGUUUUCAACACUUUAUUUGUUUUUGGCUUCACUGAGUCUUCAUUGCUUUGCAUGGGCUUUCUGUAGUUGCGGUGAGCUGGGACCUGCUCCUUGUUGCGUUGCACAGGCUUCUCAUUGCAGUGGCUUCUCUUGUUGCAGAGCACAGGCUCUAGGCCUGGGCUUCAGUAGUUGCAGCACAUGGGCUCAGUAGUUGUGGCACACGGGCUUAGUUGCUCUGCAGCACGUGGGAUCUUCCCAGAUCAGGGACCAAAUCUGUGUUCCCUGCAUUGGCAGGUAGAGUUUUAUCUGCUGCACCACCAGGGAAGUCCUAGCCACCGUUUCUUAAUAAGAAGUAAGCAGUGGAUGCUUCUUUAAAAACAUGGCCAAAUUUUAAAGCAUACCUCCUGGAUCAGAAAUUUGGAGAGAGCAGCCCAUAGAUGGAUAUCAUGAGGGUAAAUAAACUUGAGAGAUUCUCAUUUUCCUGUAAGAUUUUACUGUCAUGCUAAUAAGGCCUAAAAUGACAUUUAAAAAAUCCUGCCACCUAACUUUAUUGGUUCAUACUAAUCUUAUCAUCUGAUACUGUUAUGACUUUUUGAUAAAAUGAUUACUGAGAUAGGUGUCCCUACUCAUGUACAUUUUCAGUUGUUUAUUUCUGUUCAAUGAGCACUUGUUGAGUGCCUGAUAUGUUCUAGGUACUGUGGACAAGAUGGUGAAUGAGAUAAAAUACAUAUUUCUUUAGAGCUUAUAUUCUAAUGAGCCAGAAAACAACCAAGUAUGCAGAAGCAUCUCUUCUUAAGAAGUGGUGAAUGCUGUGGAAAAAAAAAAAAUGAAGCGGAGAAGAAUAACAGAUAGGGUAUUGCGAGCUAUAUGCAUAGAAUGUUCAGAGAAGGCUGGGGAGGUACCAGUGAGGAGAGUCCUGAAUAAGGUGAGAGAGCAAGCUUUAGGAAGAUCGAUCCAGGAUGAAAAACAGUCCAGGCAGACAUAACAGCAAGUGCAAAGACCCUGAGGCAAGAAAACUUGAACUGAUACAUUUUAUGUUGGUUUAAAACCAUUGUUUGAUUCUUUAAGACAGUUGGGCUAGUCUUUAAGAAACAUAGGAAUAUAAUUAGAGCCCCAGAGUUGAACUUGGUUGAAAUAAUUUAGGGAUUUCUCAUUAUCGUUUUCUUAGAUUAGCUUCAAUGAUAUUUAGUUUGCCUUUUCUAUUUGCUCUCUGUAGGAGACAAUAAUUAAAGGUUGGAUGGCUGUGCAUCUUCUGUGACAUAUUUUUGGUCUGUGUUUUAAGAAAGGUGCAUUGUCUCCUUAUAAGUGUCUAGAAUCGUCCUGGUGGCUGAGUCAGCCAGAUUGGCGGACCCAGCUCUGGCAUAGCUCUCAGGCAUAUAUCCUGUAUAGCUUUUGACAGAUACCAAUGCUAUGGUGUCCAUCCCCUGCCCAAAGCCAGGGACACAAUAUUCUUUACUCAUUUUCUGGCUCUGAAUGUCUUUUUUUGUUUUUGUUUUUGCAGCCUAACCUUUUUGUCAUCUUUGGCAUUUUCACAGGCUCCAGCUCAUUCCUGGCUUUAGUUAAAGUUUUCUGAAAUUCUUCUUAUAGGUUGAAGCAGCCCAGGGAAGCCUGCUUUCUGCUUACUCAACAGGAAGACCUGCUCUUUUUGUCUCUUUUUCAGUCACCAGCAGAGUAUUUUGAAUCGUUGUGUGGGGAAACCAGUGGUUCCUGUACUUGGAUUGCCAUCAAAAUCACCAGGAAAAUUAAAACAAAACAAAAAAAAACCUUAAAAAGCUUCUGGGGCCCCAUGCCCUGAAAUUCUCAUUCAGUAUGUCUGGAGUGGGACCUGAAAAUUGAGUCUGUUGGUGAUACAGAUAAACAAUGUCAUUUGGAAACUACUAUUUGGAAAUCCCAAAUAGUUAUUUUAAAUUAUUUGUCCUGCACGUAGUGGGUGCUAAAUAGUUGUGGACUUGUAGGAGCUGUCAGUUGACUUCUCUGUCUUGCCUACUGUGUUGUGAGCUCCUUAAAAUAAGACCUAUCUUUUCCGCCUUGUAGAUUCAGUGCACUAGCUGCCGCAUGGAACAGUAAAUGAAUGAUUGUCUGGAUUAACUGAUAAUGAAAAUAUUAGGUUGGUCGACUUUUUUGGGGGUUUUCCAGUACCACCUUAUGGGAAAACCUGAAUGAAAUUUUUGGCCAGCCUAAUAGAAGAAUCCUGUCCUUUGGGCAGAAGGUUAUGGUGGUAGUCGCUGUUGUUUUGAGUUGGAGAACAUUUGCCUAUUACAAUAGACACAUAUUUUAAAAUAAAGAACUCGGGGCCAUUAGCAGUAAUUGUUAUCACGAAUAUUAGAGCAACAGAGAAACACACAGGUGAAUUGUCCUGUAUGUAUUUUUUCAAGUGUUUUAUUUUUAUAUGGGUAAUACCUCUUAUAAAUUCUAAAGGUAUAAAAAAGGCACACAGGGAAAAGUCUUCUUCCUACUCCUGUCCCCCAGCAACCAAUGUCUCCAACCCAGAGGCAGUCAGUGUUUCAGUUCUUUGCCUUUUAAAAGACAAAUGGUAACAGAUUGCAGCUGUUCAACUCCUUGCUUCAUGAUUGUAACUUGGUCAACAUCUGAUAGGAACGGGUACACAAGGAGCUUCUUCUCUCUCUUACAGCUUGAAAGUAUUGCACUAUAAGAGUAUAUCUCAGUUCAUUUUACUAGACCCUUAUUUCUGAAUAUUUAGGUUUCUGUUUCAAACAUUGUCAUCGGUGAAUUACUUUUCUUGUACCUGUGGUUUUGCAUGUGUAUGCCUACACCUAGGAAAUUUUCUAGAGUUCUACUUGCCAGAUCAUUGGACACAUGCCGUGUAAUAUUGUCAACUUGCCAAAGAUGAGGGUUAUAUCAAUUGUCUUUGAACUGUCAUCACAAAGCUCUGGUGGUUUCUCAGAUAUCCAGGACCUGUGGGCUCUGGCCAUCGAGUGUCUGGUCUUCCCAAGUUCUGUAAUAUGUCUUAAUAUGUAAAUUGGUUGAGAUGAGUUCAAGGUAUUUGAAGGGAAUUGGAACUCAGAGAGCUACCUAUGUGUUACUUUCAAGGCUAGGUUUUUAGAAUAUUUCUGUUUAUAGAUUAAAUUCAUCAUUUAUUUAGGAAUAUUUGAUUAAUUAACUACUAAUUAAAAAUCCAAAAAUUUUUCUCAUGGGCAUUUCAUCUGUAUUUCUGCCAUUGACCCUUAGAGGGGGACUUGUGUAUGUAUGAUUAAAGGAGAGAAUUUAGAGAUGGUAGGAAAUAAUGAGGUUGACAGUUGACUAAAACAAUAUAAGUGGGCCUAGAUGGACACCUUGCUUCCUUGUUACACCUACUACUCAUGCCCACUAAUGGGAAUCAGUCUCCUCUUUCUCUUUCCUUUCUCUUUCUUUGAUACGAGAUCAUGAUUGUGGGCAACACUUUCUGGUUGAAUUUCACGUAGAACUAUGCCAGGUCCACUAUCACUUUCUUGUGGUUUGUAUUUCUGUUUGGGAGUUAGUGAUUUUUCCCCCUCAGGUAAUUUUUGUGACAUUAGAAAAUGAUGUCUUUUAUUCCUUCUAUUUAAGUGAUGGCCAUACAUUUUAUGUGAAUUAUCCAAUAUAAUGAUUAAUGUUCAUUGUAACUUGUAAUUAUAACACUGACAGAACUUAGGACCAUGAAUGCUCUAUUUUAAAAUAUGUAUUUAAUUAUUUAAAAUUUGUAUUUCUUCUAAAUAAAAUUCACUUGUUCUGA
Molecule: long non-coding RNA, 3842 nt
Organism: Bubalus bubalis (water buffalo)
Lineage: Eukaryota; Metazoa; Chordata; Mammalia; Artiodactyla; Bovidae
Exons: 2
Source: RefSeq, a predicted model, not a curated record